Long non-coding RNA from Camellia sinensis, 656 nucleotides. RefSeq lists it as uncharacterized. The record is from RefSeq and is a predicted model, not a curated record. NCBI's taxonomy places the organism in Eukaryota, Viridiplantae, Streptophyta, Magnoliopsida, Ericales, Theaceae.
CUCGCACGAAGCCGUCCUCCUCCACCGAACUGACCCUCCCCGGCGAGCAGUCCCCUAGACGGCACCGGCGACGACCAGUCCCCCAGACGGCAUCGGCUGAGCGAAGAAAUUUGUUCCCCAGAUUUUGAAAAAUGGCUUCUUCUUCUAACAUUAGCGACAUUAGAUUACAACCGAGGCUAUGCAAUUGUGGAAGAACCGCUGCCUUACAUAUUGUAAAAACCAAUGAAAAUGGAAAUGAAGGGCGUAUGUUCUUUGUUAGCCCAUCAAGAUAUAGUAAAACUCCCACUCCCCAUUUCAAUUACUUCAAGUUCGUGGAUGAAGAUAAUGAUGCCGUUACGUCCAGAAUUCGUUCGAACUGUAUAGCGUGUGAUGGUAUAAUAGUACAAGACUUUGACGAUGUACGGACGAGGCUUCAUUACAUGGAAACGAACUAUGCUCGAAGGCUUGAAAGGAUGGAAAGGAAUAUCAAAGCGAUGGUGUACUUCAUUGUAUUUGCUACCAUUUUCUACUUGAUUAUGUAACUUGGUAGUUUGUAGCAUCUUCGGUUAUAUGUACAUGAACUUGUUAUGUAAUAUCUAUUAUCUAUUUCCCUGAACUUGUGGCCUCAACUUUGGAAUGAAUGAUGGAAUGACUUUUGGAAUGCAUUUUGGAAUGAA